AGGACUAACGCUGGCGGCGUGCCUAACACAUGCAAGUCGAACGAGAGUAGCAAUACUCUAGUGGCAGACGGGUGAGUAACACGUGGUCAACCUACCUCUUAGUGGGGGAUAACUAGCCGAAAGGUUAGCUAAUACCGCAUUCGAUCUUCGAUCGGCAUCGAUUGAAGAUGAAAGGCGCAAGUCGCUAAGAGACGGGACCGCGUCCCAUUAGCUAGUUGGCAGGGUAAUGGCCUACCAAGGCGACGAUGGGUAGCUGGCUUGAGAGAGCGACCAGCCACACUGGGACUGAGACACGGCCCAGACUCCUACGGGAGGCAGCAGUGAGGAAUUUUCCGCAAUGGGCGAAAGCCUGACGGAGCGACGCCGCGUGUGGGAAGAAGGCCUUCGGGUCGUAAACCACUGUCGAAGGGGAAGAUAUUGACGGUACCCUUGGAGGAAGCCCCGGCUAACUACGCGCCAGCAGCCGC
Molecule: ribosomal RNA, 467 nt
Filed under: uncultured bacterium
Lineage: Bacteria
Description: SSU rRNA
Rfam family: Bacterial small subunit ribosomal RNA
Source: RNAcentral